This 454-nucleotide ribosomal RNA is filed under the name uncultured bacterium. RNAcentral describes it as "partial 16S ribosomal RNA". It matches the Rfam family "Bacterial small subunit ribosomal RNA", at positions 28 to 507 of the family's 1533-position model. The record is from RNAcentral.
GAUGAACGCUGACAGAAUGCUUAACACAUGCAAGUCUACUUGAACUUCGGUUUGGGUGGCGGACGGGUGAGUAACGCGUAAAGAACUUGCCUCACAGAUAGGGACAACAUUUGGAAACGAAUGCUAAUACCUGAUAUUAUGAUUUUAGGGCAUCCUAGAAUUAUGAAAGCUAUAUGCACUGUGAGAGAGCUUUGCGUCCCAUUAGCUAGUUGGAGAGGUAACGGCUCACCAAGGCGAUGAUGGGUAGCCGGCCUGAGAGGGUGAUCGGCCACAAGGGGACUGAGACACGGCCCGUACUCCUACGGGAGGCAACAGUGGGGAAUAUUGGACAAUGGACCAAGAGUCUGAUCCAGCAAUUCUGUGUGCACGAUGAAGUUUUUCGGAAUGUAAAGUGCUUUCAGUUGGGAAGAAAAAAAUGACGGUACCAACAGAAGAAGUGACGGCUAAAUACGUG